This is a non-coding RNA of Pelobates cultripes (western spadefoot toad), 728 nucleotides long. Lineage: Eukaryota; Metazoa; Chordata; Amphibia; Anura; Pelobatidae. The record is from the annotation of a GenBank genome assembly.
UGACGCACUAAGCCUCAGCCUACUCUGAUUGUGUCCUUGUUAUCCGUUUUCCUGAACCAGCUUCAUUUACUGACCAUCCCUAAUUGCUUCUUAUACUGACCUUGGCUUGUUUAACUUACCUGCUCUCUUGAAUCCUGACGUUGUCUCCUCUCAGUUUUGCCAUUUAGUUUAUACCUUGACAUGCUGAGAAGGAAGUACACAUGCUUUCUAUAUCCUCCUCUUGACAUCUCAUAAGAGUCCUUAUUAGAGCUGCUAGCUACUAGAGUCCACAUGUAUUCUCAGGAGAAGGUCCAGAAGUGCUAGGUGCUAUGUCCCGAUAUGACAGCUAACCUGAUAAUCAAGAUUGCAUUAUCAUGCCACAAUAAGGGAUACAACACUUACAGUUAGCCCUUAACUUUAUCACUCCCAGGUUUGUGUAAAUGUUUCGUCCAUAAAGCCUCCCUCACCAUCAUUUAUACUCUAGGAAUGAUUAGCAGUUUGCAGAGGAAUACAUGUCUUUUCCAGGAGCCACUGGUCACUCAUUUAUCUUAUCCAAAUGUACUGAAAAUGACAUCUCCCUUCAAACAGGAAAGGAAAUUUCAAUGGUUUAUACCACUCCAAGGGUCGGGGGGGAGAGUGAAUGAGCAUUACAUUAGCGUUCCAGAGAUUGAUAAAGAUUGCUGUUGUCAUUUUCAGUAACUAUUCCACUAGUAAUACCAUCAGGGUCCUGACAAAUACUGGUAAGUAAG